Molecule: long non-coding RNA, 2300 nt
Filed under: Homo sapiens (human)
Lineage: Eukaryota; Metazoa; Chordata; Mammalia; Primates; Hominidae
Description: HSALNT0383193
Source: RNAcentral
AGAGACGGGUACAGAUACACUGGAAAGAGGGGCUUGGAGAGGGAGACAGGGCCAGACAUGUUCUAGCAGAGAGAUGGUAUAUUACUCCCUUCUCACGCUGCUAAGAAGGAAUACCUGAGACUGGGUAAUUUAUAAAGAAAAGAGGUUUAAUUGACUCACAGUUCCGCAUGGCUGUGGCGGGGGGGCGGCCACAAGAAACUUAACAAUCAUGGCAGAAGGACCUCUUCACAGGACAGCAGGAGAGAGAACGAGUACCAGCAGGGGAAAUGCCAGAUGCUUAUAAAACCAUCAGAUCUUGUGAGAACUCACUCACCAUCACAAGAACAGUAUGGGGGAAGCAGCCCCCUUCAUUCAAUUACCUCCCGCCGGAUCCCUCCCACAACACAUGGUGAUUAUGGGGAUUACAAUUCAAGAUGAGAUGUGGGCGGGGACACAGACAAACCACAGGAGAUGUGUGAAGAUUGCUUGUGGCUUAUCAGUGGUCCCUUUCUGCCUUAAGGGUGAUGGAAUCAAAAAGAACUUCUCCAUCCUUGGCUUUGAUAUUUCAGGCGCACAAACAAGGCCUCAUUCACCCUUCCCAGAGCUGAUCCACUGGCGUGAUUUGCUCUAAUGCCAACAUCACCACCCCUCCCCAGAGGCCCUGCCAGCCUCUACUCUCCCAGGAAGUCAGCCCCACUCUGCUGGCUAGUCCUGGCUCUCUACUGUCUUUCUGGGCCCAUCAUGGCUCCCUGACCACCCAACUCUGAAACAAUCUCCCGGUCCAGGGCAUCCCAGGAACCAGGUCAUUGAUGGAGCCGCUAUUUGGCAGUUGCAGGUGGGGCAGGAAUGGUAUGGGGAAGUAGAGGCAGAAUGAAAUGGCCUGGAAGAAGUUACCCUUUUUGGAUGAGUUCAAAACCCCUAGGGCUGAUGCACCCAACCCCUGCUCUGUCAUUCGUGACCUGCUCUUUCUAGAGCAAAAUAUCAUGGGAUGGGAGGGCCCUCUGAAUCUUUUCCUGUGAAGUUGACUUUGAUGAUAUGUUGGUCCUUUUGUCAAGCCUGAGCUGCUGUGGUCUGAUGCUGAGUGUCUCACCUGUAACAUCUCAGCACAUAACACUCCACAGUGAGAGCCUUCCUUCUGCCCCUGGGAGGGAGAGCUUUACAGAAGUAUUUCCAAGCAAAUUUCCAGAAGGCCUCAAAGUAAGCAGCAGAAGCCGCUGCUGGUGUCAGCAGCAAAUCAGCACUCAGCUUGAGGCCUCCCAGCCUGCCCCGGGAGGGGCACGGCUCGCAGCCUUUGCACUCUGGGUUCUUUCCAGGGAGGAUCCCAUGGGGCACUUCCAGGAAGGAGCCCCUGCUGCUUUCUCCAAAGAGCUCUGCUUCGGGUCUCUAAGGAUUGGUUUUAUCUGCAGAGAAGCUAAAGGAAGGAAUCUACUGGUCCCCUAAGGACCUGAUGACACAUGCACAGAGAUCCCAUCUCUCUUUUCAUUCCCUGAAGUAAGGGAGGCAAUGAAGCCAUACGUGUACCACAAAGAGUGUGAGAAAGAAGGAACUCUCCAGCCGGGGUCUUUCUCUGAGUCAUUUUUCAGUCGUAGGGUACAAAAAGCUCCAGGUUAUAUUCAAGGUUUUAUUUUUUCCAGAGUAUCUUCGGGGAAAAAAAGUAUAUCUGAAAAUCACAGAAAUUCUUUUCUUUCAAGGUAAAUUAGAGGAUUUGAAGGGGCAGUGCUGGAUGAUCUCUGGGUUCCCCUCUAGUCCAACACCCAGACUCUGAGAUUGCUUCCCUGUGGGAGCUCGGCCUGGCCUCCUUCCAUGGGCGUUUCUUCCAACGUGGAGGUUUGUCAGUGGCGUGCCUGAUGGCCAGGGCCAGAUGCUGUUCUUCACACCAGAACGUCAUAAUUUAAAAUGUCUAUGCUCUGAAGCAAGAAAUCAGAGCUUCAAACCUAAAACUUGUAGGAUUUACAAAGCAGUUUCAUUCCACCAACAUCUAUUGAGUACUCAUUAUGGGCCAGGUACAGAGAUGAGAAGUGGGUCUGAGAACAGUCCCUGCCCCCAAGUAGUUCACAAAUCUCAUUGUGAAGAGGCAGGCACAGAAAAUCUAUCCAUCUGGUAGCGGCCAACCCAAGCCAGGUAGGCAAUACUUUCCCUCAUAGAGUUAGAGGGUAGUUUAAAGAAACUGCCACCCAGAGGGAACGGCGGUGAGGUUUUAGGAAUUAUGAUUCCUUUCCUAAAUUUCUUUGCUAUUUGUUAUGAGCUACACAAAUGUUUAUACACAAGUCUUAAAGUUUUGGCUGAUUAGAAUAUUUUCAAUAAAGAGAGAAUUUCUACUU